RNAcentral lists this ribosomal RNA (480 nucleotides) under uncultured bacterium. RNAcentral describes it as "partial 16S ribosomal RNA". It matches the Rfam family "Bacterial small subunit ribosomal RNA", at positions 28 to 507 of the family's 1533-position model. The record is from RNAcentral.
GAUGAACGCUGGCGGCGUGCUUAACACAUGCAAGUCGAACGGAACUACUCCAAUGAGAGUCUUCGGAAAGGAUUUGGUUUAGUUUAGUGGCGGACGGGUGAGUAACGCGUGGGUAACCUGCCCUAUACAGGGGGAUAACAGUUGGAAACGACUGUUAAUACCGCAUAAGCGCACAGGAGCGCAUGCUCCGGUGUGAAAAACUCCGGUGGUAUAGGAUGGACCCGCGUCUGAUUAGCUGGUUGGCGGGGUAACGGCCCACCAAGGCGACGAUCAGUAGCCGGGAUGAGAGGGUGAACGGCCACAUUGGGAAUGAGACACGGCCCAAACUCCUACGGGAGGGAGCAGUGGGGAAUAUUGCACAAUGGGGGAAACCCUGAUGCAGCGACGCCGCGUGAGCGAAGAAGUAUCUCGGUAUGUAAAGCUCUAUCAGCAGGGAAGAAAAUGACGGUACCUGACUAAGAAGCCCCGGCUAACUACGUG